Molecule: long non-coding RNA, 535 nt
Organism: Mangifera indica (mango)
Lineage: Eukaryota; Viridiplantae; Streptophyta; Magnoliopsida; Sapindales; Anacardiaceae
Exons: 3
Source: RefSeq, a predicted model, not a curated record
AACGGGGUUGUCAAUCUUGAAAAGGGCCUUUUUGAUAAAUCUUCUUCUGUCAAUUUACGAUAAUCAAUACAUUUUUUGGGGGAUUUCCAAAUCCAAAGUAGUCCUUGUCCUUGAAGCUUUCUUUGAACCAACCUUAGUGUAAUCUGAUUGUCCACCCACUCAUUCUUUUUCUUGUUUGUCCAUAGGCAUCCGAACACAUUGCAACUGCAUAUUCAGAGCUCAGGAAUGGGACUUCAAACGCAAAGACUGGAGGAACUCUUCCAAUUACAGCAAGAACCUUAGAAACCAUAAUACGUCUCUCAACUGCUCAUGCUAAAUUGAAGGUUUCAAAAUCUGAUGUUGAAGCUGCCUUAAAAGUUCUAAAUUUCGCAAUAUAUCACAAAGAAUUGACCGAGAUGGAGGAAUGUGAAAAAGAAAGGCAGAGGGAAUUGGAUGGAAAUCAAAGAGCAGAGCCGCACCACAGAGGAAAUGACAGACGAGACUGUUAGCAUGAUUCUGGCAGUCAAUCAACAUGAUUCCAAUAAUCAUGCAACAU